AUUUGCGGAGUUGGUUCCGCCAGGGAGGAGAACUCGCGUGCUUUGUGCAGAGGGGAUUCAGCCUGCGCAGCGUGGCUCGGGGGCGCCGUGGAGCCUCCCGAAGGCGAUCGUGGGAUUCAGAAACCUCUCCCGGGGCUCCCACGGGAGGAGGCUGACCUGGGCCUGCACGCGAUCGCGGGAUGGGCUGGGGUUGCAGGAAGGCCCUGGGCCCGGGCCGCCAUCGGCGGGGCACUGGCUGCUUCUGUGUGCAGGCGCCGCACGGGCUCAUCCGCUUACACCGAAUUGUACUAAAUUGUCUUUUUAUUUCCCCACCCAGAAAAUGAAACACAUCCCCCAGCGAAAGCACGCACUAGCUCCGUUCUCCCGAGGAGAGUUUCCAGUGACUUGAGCGAGGGUGACCCAGGUCAUUUGACUAGAAGCUUUGUCUGCGUGCACUGAAUGAGGAUCCGGCCCUACCUUGUGUAUCCCUACUACGUGCUCCUGGACCUGUUGGGUUUGACUCUUGAUUUGCUGUUUUUGGGUGUUCACUGGCUGAGGACGGCUGUGUGCAGUGGCUGUGAAUAAACGGUGCUUGAACUCA
RNAcentral lists this long non-coding RNA (580 nucleotides) under Mus caroli (Ryukyu mouse). RNAcentral's name for it is "lncRNA (MGP_CAROLIEiJ_G0004830.1)". Lineage: Eukaryota; Metazoa; Chordata; Mammalia; Rodentia; Muridae. The record is from RNAcentral.